AAAAAGGUAAGCUAAAUAAGCUUCUGGGCUCAUACCUCAUUAAUAAAGGUUAUAAUCCUUUCCUUUUUA
RNAcentral lists this transfer RNA (69 nucleotides) under Aphthona strigosa. Its description in RNAcentral is "tRNA-Met". It matches the Rfam family "tRNA". From Rfam's summary of the family: Transfer RNA (tRNA) molecules are approximately 80 nucleotides in length. Their secondary structure includes four short double-helical elements and three loops (D, anti-codon, and T loops). Lineage: Eukaryota; Metazoa; Arthropoda; Insecta; Coleoptera; Chrysomelidae. The record is from RNAcentral.